CCAGCAGCCGCGGUAAUUCCAGCUCCAAGAGGAUAUAUCAAAUUUGUUGCAGUUGAAACGCUCGUAGUCGAAUUUCUGUGAGGCUUGGGUUUUCUUUUUAUUUCAGCAAUGAUUGAAAAGUAGAUUCGCCUUGCAUCAUGGGGACUUCCGUUUUGUUAUUUUGAUUAAUAAUAAGAUGCCCCUCCGUCACUGAGAGCAAAUUGGAGUGCUCAAAGCAGGCUAUAUAGCUUUGAACAAUUAAGCUUGGAAUGACAAUUUAUGACUAUGUUGUAAUUGUUGGUUUUAUAAUUUUAGUAAUGAUAAAAAGGAACAGUUUCGCGGGGCUGCUUGUAUUUCUGAGUCAGAGGUGAAAUUCUUGGAUUUCAGAAAGACUAACGACUGCAAAAGCAUUCAGCAAGGAUGUUUUCAUUGAUCAAGAACGAAAGU
RNAcentral lists this ribosomal RNA (426 nucleotides) under uncultured eukaryote. RNAcentral's name for it is "SSU rRNA". It matches the Rfam family "Eukaryotic small subunit ribosomal RNA", at positions 567 to 990 of the family's 1831-position model. The record is from RNAcentral.